UACGGAAGGCAGCAGUGGGGAAUAUUGCACAAUGGGCGCAAGCCUGAUGCAGCCAUGCCGCGUGUAUGAAAAAGGCCUUCGGGUUGUAAAGUACUUUCAGUCGUGAGGAAGGUGUUAAGGUUAAUAACCUUAGCAAUUGACGUUAGCGACAGAAGAAGCACCGGCUAACUCCGUGCCAGCAGCCGCGGUAAUACGGAGGGUGCGAGCGUUAAUCGGAAUUACUGGGCGUAAAGGGCACGCAGGCGGUUAAUUAAGUUGGAUGUGAAAUCCCCGGGCUUAACCUGGGAAUGGCAUUCAAGCUGGUUAGCUAGAGUCUUGUAGAGGGGGUAGAAUUCCAUGUGUAGCGGUGAAAUGCGUAGAGAUGUGGAGGAAUACCGGUGGCGAAGGCGGCCCCUGGACAAAGGACUGACGCUCAUGUGCGAAAGCGUGGGGAGCGAAAC
This 440-nucleotide ribosomal RNA is filed under the name uncultured bacterium. RNAcentral's name for it is "bacterial SSU rRNA". It matches the Rfam family "Bacterial small subunit ribosomal RNA", at positions 340 to 774 of the family's 1533-position model. The record is from RNAcentral.